CCUACGGGGGGCUGCAGUGGGGAAUAUUGGACAAUGGGCGAAAGCCUGAUCCAGUCAUGCCGCGUGUGUGAAGAAGGCCUUCGGGUUGUAAAGCACUUUCAGUGGGGAAGAAAGCCUUGGGGCUAAUACCCUCGAGGAAGGACAUCACCCACAGAAGAAGCACCGGCUAACUCCGUGCCAGCAGCCGCGGUAAUACGGAGGGUGCGAGCGUUAAUCGGAAUUACUGGGCGUAAAGCGCGCGUAGGCGGUCUGAUAAGCCGGUUGUGAAAGCCCCGGGCUCAACCUGGGAACGGCAUCCGGAACUGUCAGGCUAGAGUGCAGGAGAGGAAGGUAGAAUUCCCGGUGUAGCGGUGAAAUGCGUAGAGAUCGGGAGGAAUACCAGUGGCGAAGGCGGCCUUCUGGACUGACACUGACGCUGAGGUGCGAAAGCGUGGGUAGCAAACAGGAUUAGAUACCCCGUAGUC
RNAcentral lists this ribosomal RNA (464 nucleotides) under Vreelandella stevensii. Its description in RNAcentral is "partial 16S ribosomal RNA". It matches the Rfam family "Bacterial small subunit ribosomal RNA", at positions 338 to 795 of the family's 1533-position model. Lineage: Bacteria; Pseudomonadati; Pseudomonadota; Gammaproteobacteria; Oceanospirillales; Halomonadaceae. The record is from RNAcentral.